UCCGAGUUGACCCCGGCAGUCUCCUACGAGUCCCCGGCAUUACCCGCUGGCAACAUAGGACAAGGGUUGCGCUCGUUGCGGGACUUAACCCAACAUCUCACGACACGAGCUGACGACAGCCAUGCACCACCUGUGCAGGGCCCUUGCGGACACCACAUCUCUGCGGCUUUUCCCUGCAUGUCAAACCCAGGUAAGGUUCUUCGCGUUGCCUCGAAUUAAGCAACAUGCUCCGCCGCUUGUGCGGGCCCCCGUCAAUUCCUUUGAGUUUCAGUCUUGCGACCGUACUCCCCAGGCGGCGAACUUAACGCGUUAGCUCCGGCACGGACCAAAUGAAUGGCCCACACCUAGUGCCCAACGUUUACGGCGUGGACUAC
RNAcentral lists this unclassified non-coding RNA (374 nucleotides) under uncultured Acidimicrobiia bacterium. Its description in RNAcentral is "contains 16S-23S intergenic spacer region". The record is from RNAcentral. Lineage: Bacteria; Bacillati; Actinomycetota; Acidimicrobiia.